UCUGAUGGUAAAGAAUCUGCCUGCAAUGCAGGAGACCCAGGUUCGAUCCCUGG
Molecule: transfer RNA, 53 nt
Filed under: Bos taurus (domestic cattle)
Lineage: Eukaryota; Metazoa; Chordata; Mammalia; Artiodactyla; Bovidae
Also listed under: 4 other names
Rfam family: tRNA
About the family: Transfer RNA (tRNA) molecules are approximately 80 nucleotides in length. Their secondary structure includes four short double-helical elements and three loops (D, anti-codon, and T loops).
Source: Rfam by way of RNAcentral